UACGAAGGGGGCUAGCGUUGCUCGGAAUCACUGGGCGUAAAGGGUGCGUAGGCGGGUCUUUAAGUCAGGGGUGAAAUCCUGGAGCUCAACUCCAGAACUGCCUUUGAUACUGAAGAUCUUGAGUUCGGGAGAGGUGAGUGGAACUGCGAGUGUAGAGGUGAAAUUCGUAGAUAUUGGGAAGAACACCGGUGGCGAAGGCGGCUCACUGGCUCAUUACUGACGCUCAGGCGCGAUAGCGUGGGGAUCAAACAGG
Molecule: ribosomal RNA, 253 nt
Filed under: uncultured bacterium
Lineage: Bacteria
Description: partial 16S ribosomal RNA
Rfam family: Bacterial small subunit ribosomal RNA
Source: RNAcentral